This 526-nucleotide ribosomal RNA is filed under the name uncultured Cytophagales bacterium. RNAcentral describes it as "bacterial SSU rRNA". It matches the Rfam family "Bacterial small subunit ribosomal RNA", at positions 9 to 527 of the family's 1533-position model. Lineage: Bacteria; Pseudomonadati; Bacteroidota; Sphingobacteriia; Sphingobacteriales. The record is from RNAcentral.
GAGUUUGAUCCUGGCUCAGGACGAACGCUGGCGGCGGGCUUAACACAUGCAAGUCGAAGGAGAAGGUAAGUGCUUGCACUUACUGGAGACUGGCGGACGGGUGAGUAACGCGUAGAUAACCUGCCUAUAUCUGGGGGAUAACAUCUCGAAAGGGGUGCUAAUACCGCAUAAUGCAGCGGGGCCGCAUGGCCACAGUUGUUAAAAGUUUCGGCUGGAUAUAGAGGGGUCUGCGUACUAUUAGUUAGUUGGUAAGGUAACGGCUUACCAAGGCGAUGAUAGUUAGGGGGUCUGAGAGGAUGAUCCCCCACACUGGGACUGAGACACGGCCCAGACUCCUACGGGAGGCAGCAGUGAGGAAUCUUGCGCAAUGGGCGAAAGCCUGACGCAGCCACGCCGCGUGCCGGAAGACGGCCCUAUGGGUUGUAAACGGCUUUUAAAAGGGAAGAACGCCCGGGUUUCGACCUGGGGUGACGGUACCUUUUGAAUAAGCACCGGCUAACUCCGUGCCAGCAGCCGCGGUAAUACG